GGUCAAACCAAACCAGCUCCUAACUGUAAAACUGUCUCCUGGAGGACUUUGCUUCCCAAUGUGUCCAGCUUUUAAAAGCAGCACUGACCAUUGGUUUCAAACCCCUUCACAGACCUACCCUGGCGAGGGGAGCACAGCUUUCCUUUCCUGGGAGCCCGGCAGCUCUGCUGCAUUCCACAAGCCAGGCACUGCAACAAGGCAAGGUCAUGGGAUGGCAGGGCAGCACACAGCAUUCCAAGACAAACUGCAGCAGCUGAUUUUCUCAUUCCAGGAUAGUAAAAAGACACUCUGUUUCCUGGGAGCUUAAAAAAAAAUCUUAAAUUUUCCUGGAACACUGAAGGAAUGUCAUGUAUUCUCCAAAGAUCAGCUGAAAGCCCUGACCAGCAGGCUGAGCACAGCAGGGCUGUGGCUGGAUCUACUGUAGUACCAGGGAGGCUCACAGGUAUCAUUUUAUUUCAUCUAUACAUACACCAAUAUUUUGUGAUAGUCUCUUACUGUGAUUAAAACCAGAAAAUGCUUAAGAAUUUCCAUAUUAAAUUAUGCCUAUUUCCUGUUUAAUUCAGAUGACAGCUCUUGUAUUUCAACAUAAAUUGAAUUAAUCUGUCCUUGUUCUUUAAGACUGCUCUGAGGAAAACAAAGAAGAUGUAUCAAGAGAAAUUAAGUCACGUGAACUUCUGAACCUGUAAAUAUGGUCUGGUAUGGUGGGAAUUUACUGAAUAAAAAAACAAGUAUAGAAUAAAGCAUUAGCAUUCACUUCAAAUGCUAAUCAAAUAAAUUAGUAAUAAAGUAAAA
Parus major (Great Tit) is the source of this 792-nucleotide long non-coding RNA. RefSeq lists it as uncharacterized. The record is from RefSeq and is a predicted model, not a curated record. The transcript is spliced from 2 exons. Lineage: Eukaryota; Metazoa; Chordata; Aves; Passeriformes; Paridae.